UCAAACUUGGUCAUUUAGAGGAAGUAAAAGUCGUAACAAGGUCUCCGUAGGUGAACCUGCGGAGGGAUCAUUACCGAGUCCUGCCCUUGGGCAGAUCUCCCACCCACUGUGAUUGUUACUCUCGUUGCCUUGGCGGGCGACUGGCCGGUGGCCCGCCAGAGGACCCCUAAGACCCUGCAUGUCGGUGUUGUCCGAGUACAAUUUAUAAUGAUUAAAACUUUCAACAACGGAUCUCUUGGUUCUGGCAUCGAUGAAGAACGCAGC
Molecule: unclassified non-coding RNA, 264 nt
Filed under: uncultured fungus
Lineage: Eukaryota; Fungi
Description: partial contains small subunit ribosomal RNA, internal transcribed spacer 1, and 5.8S ribosomal RNA
Rfam family: Eukaryotic small subunit ribosomal RNA (bases 1-73)
Source: RNAcentral